RNAcentral lists this ribosomal RNA (491 nucleotides) under uncultured bacterium. RNAcentral's name for it is "partial 16S ribosomal RNA". It matches the Rfam family "Bacterial small subunit ribosomal RNA", at positions 29 to 506 of the family's 1533-position model. The record is from RNAcentral.
AGUGAACGCUGGCGGUAGGCCUAACACAUGCAAGUCGAACGGCAGCACAGUAAGAGCUUGCUCUUACGGGUGGCGAGUGGCGGACGGGUGAGGAAUACAUCGGAAUCUACUUUUUCGUGGGGGAUAACGUAGGGAAACUUACGCUAAUACCGCAUACGACCUACGGGUGAAAGCAGGGGAUCUUCGGACCUUGCGCGAUUGAAUGAGCCGAUGUCGGAUUAGCUAGUUGGCGGGGUAAAGGCCCACCAAGGCGACGAUCCGUAGCUGGUCUGAGAGGAUGAUCAGCCACACUGAAGCUGAGACACGGUCCAGACUCCUACGGGAGGCAGCAGUGGGGAAUAUUGGACAAUGGGCGCAAGCCUGAUCCAGCCAUACCGCGUGGGUGAAGAAGGCCUUCGGGUUGUAAAGCCCUUUUGUUGGGAAAGAAAAGCAGCAGGUUAAUACCCCGCUGUUCUGACGGUACCCAAAGAAUAAGCACCGGCUAACUUCGU